Molecule: unclassified non-coding RNA, 466 nt
Filed under: Pavona cactus
Lineage: Eukaryota; Metazoa; Cnidaria; Anthozoa; Scleractinia; Agariciidae
Also listed under: 1 other name
Description: sequence contains 5.8S rRNA gene, ITS2 and 28S rRNA gene
Rfam family: 5.8S ribosomal RNA (bases 297-450)
Source: RNAcentral
GCGCCGGAUGCCGGAAAGUUGGUCAAACUUGAUCAUUUAGAGGAAGUAAAAGUCGUAACAAGGUUUCCGUAGGUGAACCUGCGGAAGGAUCAUUACCGAUAGAAUAAUCCAAGACGAGUCCUUGAGACUUGUUUACUGUGUGAAUUGUACGCAAUCUUUUAGGGGUCGGUCUCUGUGCCGUUAAAUGGUCGUCCGCCGCUUGGCGUGCGUUCGGUCAGCCCCGACUUUAUGUUUUUUCAAACUUUGUUUAUUCAGUCUGAGAACCAAUAGUGUUGGAAAACGAAAAAGAGAAAGACAACUUUUAACGGUGGAUCUCUUGGCUCACGCAUCGAUGAAGAACGCAGCCAGCUGCGAUAAGUAGUGUGAAUUGCAGAAUUCAGUGAAUCAUCGAAUCUUUGAACGCAAAUGGCGCUCUUGGGUUCUCCCAGGAGCAUGUCUGCCUGAGUGUCGGAUAUCAUCCAACGCC